Molecule: ribosomal RNA, 301 nt
Filed under: uncultured bacterium
Lineage: Bacteria
Description: partial 16S ribosomal RNA
Rfam family: Bacterial small subunit ribosomal RNA
Source: RNAcentral
CAGCCGCCACGGUAAUACGAAGGGGGCUAGCGUUGCUCGGAAUGACUGGGCGUAAAGGGCGCGUAGGCGGAUGGCACAGUCAGAUGUGAAAUUCCCGGGCUUAACCUGGGGGCUGCAUUUGAUACGUGUUGUCUAGAGUGAGGAAGAGGGUCGUGGAAUUCCCAGUGUAGAGGUGAAAUUCGUAGAUAUUGGGAAGAACACCGGUGGCGAAGGCGGCGACCUGGUCCUUUACUGACGCUGAGGCGCGAAAGCGUGAGGAGCAAACAGGAUUAGAUACCCCCGUAGUCCCUGUCUCUUAUAC